GGCUUAUCCAUGUGUGAUUGGCACUUCCUAUGGCUACCAGGACACUAGCUUUGCCCAAGGGUUAUUUUUAUAUAGAUUGCUAUUUUCUACUAUUGCAAGAUUAUAAGCCUUGCCCGAGGCUUACAUCUCAAUUAACUGAUGCUUCUACUACCAUAAGAUUGCAAGCCUUACAUGAGGCUUACAUAUGCAUCGAUCGAUGUUUCUACUACCUUGAGAAUACAAGCCUUGUGUGAGGUUUGUAGUCAGGGACUUGCUGCCUUUGGUAGGGUAUAAGUCUUACCCGAGGCUUAUACCAUAACUAAUGAUAAUUUUUACAUAAGAUCUAUUUUUAUAGGACUUCUUUUCUAAAAUUGAGUUUUGUCCCAUUUCCUGCAUCAAAAUAGACAAAAUCACUCAGAUUAGGUAACAAAUAGCUCAGUUAUGCACUCAAAAUGAUCACUAAAAAUGUUGUUUAUAUGCACUACUACUAAGUCUUGGACAAGGCUUAUCUAUGUGUGAACUGGUACUCCCUAUUGCAGCUAGGGUGCUAGCUUUGCCCAAGGAUAAUCUACACAUAGAGCAGUGGUUUCUACUAUCGCAAGA
Molecule: long non-coding RNA, 582 nt
Filed under: Carica papaya (papaya)
Lineage: Eukaryota; Viridiplantae; Streptophyta; Magnoliopsida; Brassicales; Caricaceae
Description: long non-coding RNA (CPAP_LNC009319)
Source: RNAcentral